This 253-nucleotide ribosomal RNA is filed under the name uncultured bacterium. RNAcentral's name for it is "partial 16S ribosomal RNA". It matches the Rfam family "Bacterial small subunit ribosomal RNA", at positions 524 to 776 of the family's 1533-position model. The record is from RNAcentral.
UACGGAGGGUGCAAGCGUUAUCCGGAUUCACUGGGUUUAAAGGGUGCGUAGGCGGGCAGGUAAGUCCGUGGUGAAAUCUCCAAGCUUAACUUGGAAACUGCCGUGGAUACUAUUUGUCUUGAAUAUAGUGGAGGUGAGCGGAAUAUGUCAUGUAGCGGUGAAAUGCUUAGAUAUGACAUAGAACACCCAUUGCGAAGGCAGCUCGCUACACUAUUAUUGACGCUGAGGCACGAAAGCGUGGGGAGCGAACCGG